UUCUGUCAAGCUGAUCUACAGCAAGUUAUGAUCUGAGCCUCUGAAUCUUUAGUGUUAUACUGCAAGACAGCCCAGAAGAAGUUAGUUUUAUUAAAGUCUGGAGCCAUCAGAAAACCUGCCAUGCAGAUGUGAUCACACAAAAACAGCAGCCUCUACCCGCAACAACAGAAUAUAAAAGGUGUUGGGAUUUGCGCUGAGCAUCUCUGGAAUUCCUAACACAUGGUUUUUGUAGUCCUGUGGAGAAAAAUGUGAACAUGGUUUAUAGUCCAUCCCCCAGGGGAAGAGAAGAGGAGAGCCAUGCACCAGUGGGGGCAGAGCAGCUUGCACAAGGGGCAGGGAAAGAAGUCGUUCUC
Molecule: long non-coding RNA, 353 nt
Organism: Trachemys scripta elegans
Lineage: Eukaryota; Metazoa; Chordata; Testudines; Emydidae
Exons: 3
Source: RefSeq, a predicted model, not a curated record